This 274-nucleotide ribosomal RNA is filed under the name uncultured bacterium. Its description in RNAcentral is "partial 16S ribosomal RNA". It matches the Rfam family "Bacterial small subunit ribosomal RNA", at positions 523 to 796 of the family's 1533-position model. The record is from RNAcentral.
CUACGGAGGGUGCAAGCGUUAAUCGGAAUUACUGGGCGUAAAGCGCACGUAGGCGGCUUGUUAAGUCAGAUGUGAAAGCCCCGGGCUCAACCUGGGAACUGCAUUUGAUACUGGCAGGCUAGAGUAUGGUAGAGGCAAGUGGAAUUCCGGGUGUAGCGGUGAAAUGCGUAGAUAUCCGGAGGAACACCAGUGGCGAAGGCGACUUGCUGGACCAAUACUGACGCUGAGGCGCGAAAGCGUGGGGAGCAAACAGGAUUAGAAACCCUAGUAGUCC